AUGGAUUGGCCGGCUCUCACUCUCACCAGCUUCACGGCGGUCACAAUCCUUAUCUUCCUACCGUUGAGUGCUUCCGACGAUCGGCUUGUCCCUGGCAGGGCGCUGUCCCCAGGUAACUUCAUCCUCUCCGAUGAUGGUGGAUUCGCCUUGGGCUUCUUCAGCCCCUCCAACUCCACUCCGACCAGCCUGUACCUAUGCAUAUGGUACACCGGCAUCCCCGAGCUCACAGUCGUGUGGGUCGCCAAUCGAGAAACCCCAGCCACCAACACCACUUCCUCUCCACCAACGUUCUCCCUCACCAACAACUCUAAUCUGGUUCUCUUCGAUGGUAAUGGUGGCCGCUGUGUCCUUUGGACAACGACCAACGUGGCCACCGCCGUGGGCUCAUCUACCUCAACGCUACGGAUAAAAAAUAGCACACAUGGCACCGCUGAGCAUCUGGUAUCCUGGAAAGGCCCUAACGACCCUUCGUUGGGGCGCUUCUCCUAUGGCAGUGACCCGAACAGAUCCCUACAAGUAUUCCUAUGGGACGGGGAGCACUCGGUGUCUCGCAGCGCCCCAUGGACAGGGUACCUAGUGAUGAGCCAAAGCCAACAACUUGGGGGCGCAAGGGCAACUAACGUCAGCGAUUUUAUCAUCUAUGUGGCCUUCGUCGACAAGGACGAUGAGAUGUACAUCACCUAUAGCCUCUCCGACGGCGCCCCACGCACCAGGUUAGUGCUCACCUACUAUGGCGAGUAUCAGCUCCAGAGUUGGAGCAACAAGUCAUCAGCGUGGGCUGUCCUUUGGAAGUGGCCGUCUGCUGAAUGCAACCGCUACAAUUAUUGUGGCCCAAAUGGAUACUGCGAUGAGACAUCCACCACGCCUGCCGUGCCAGCAUGCAAGUGUCUCGACGGCUUUGAGCCGACUAACACGGAGGAGUGGACUGCAGGCAGAUUCCCGGCAGGGUGCCAAAGGAAGAAGGCGCCGCGAUGCAGUGACGGAUUCUUAGCCUUGCCGGGGAUGAAGUCACCUGACAUGUUUUCUUCCGUGGGCGGGGACAUGAGUACGUUCGAGGAGUGCACAGCAGAGUGCAGAGUGCAGCCGCAAUUGCUCGUGCGUGGCAUACACGUUCAGCAACCUGAGCACUGGCAGGUCUGGAGGAGACGUGACCAGAUGCUUGGUGUGGAAUGGGGAGUUGGUUGA
RNAcentral lists this ribosomal RNA (1185 nucleotides) under Triticum aestivum (bread wheat). RNAcentral describes it as "partial small subunit ribosomal RNA". The record is from RNAcentral. Lineage: Eukaryota; Viridiplantae; Streptophyta; Magnoliopsida; Poales; Poaceae.